Long non-coding RNA from Morone saxatilis (striped sea-bass), 261 nucleotides. RefSeq lists it as uncharacterized. Lineage: Eukaryota; Metazoa; Chordata; Actinopteri; Moronidae. The record is from RefSeq and is a predicted model, not a curated record. The transcript is spliced from 6 exons.
CAGUUUCUCCUGAUGUAGUGUCAUCCAUCAUUUACAGCAUGAUUGACUUAUCCCAGCACAUACCACCAGGUUGCAUCAUAUACACUGGACAGUGCAAUGUUACCGCGACAAACCAAACAGACAUUUGUGUUGGAGUGAACAGCACAAUGCUGCAGCUCAAUCUUGACAGCGGACUGAUGAACGGAAGUUUCUGUCACUUUGCUGUUGAGGAAUUUGCUUGUGCCUCGCUGUCAUCGUUGAAAGCAAAUGAUCUGGCAGCGA